UUUCUCUUGUUCAAUCAUGGGACACGAAACAAUGACGCCGGCAACAACAACGC
Molecule: small RNA, 53 nt
Filed under: Arabidopsis thaliana (thale cress)
Lineage: Eukaryota; Viridiplantae; Streptophyta; Magnoliopsida; Brassicales; Brassicaceae
Description: ATSL130720
Source: RNAcentral